Zonotrichia leucophrys gambelii is the source of this 366-nucleotide long non-coding RNA. RefSeq lists it as uncharacterized. NCBI's taxonomy places the organism in Eukaryota, Metazoa, Chordata, Aves, Passeriformes, Passerellidae. The transcript has 3 exons. The record is from RefSeq and is a predicted model, not a curated record.
AGAAGAAACAUCUUCCCCCAAGAGGAAACACCGGUUAGCUGGCUCUGAGCAAAACAAACAAAAAUGGAUUCAGGGAACCAUCCUGACACCCCGAAUUCAACCAGGUGUGCUGGGAAGAAGACAUGCCGACUGCAGCCUACACAUGGCGCAACUCAAGUGCCUACACCCAGACCAGGCUGUCCAAACUGCUCAGGAGAGCAGGCCCAGACUGCCCCGGCCUGCUCAGGGGUGCCAGGCCAACGGACCUGCCAUGGCGGGGCCUCUUGCCAGAAUCUCCAGCAGCAGCAGAAGUAAAUCCACAGCUGAGAAACAUCAACGUAACGAUUUCCUGCUGGCUCUGUGAACAUUAAAAAUAUCUUUACCUGC